GACGGAGGGGGCUAGCGUUGUUCGGAAUUACUGGGCGUAAAGAGUGCGUAGGCGGUUUAGUAAGUUGGAAGUGAAAGCCCGAGGCUUAACCUCGGAACUGCUUUCAAAACUACUAAUCUAGAGUGUAGUAGGGGAUGAUGGAAUUCUUAGUGUAGAGGUGAAAUUCUUAGAUAUUAGGAGGAACACCGGUGGCGAAGGCGGUCAUCUGGGCUACAACUGACGCUGAUGCACGAAAGCGUGGGGAGCAAACAGG
This 253-nucleotide ribosomal RNA is filed under the name uncultured bacterium. RNAcentral describes it as "partial 16S ribosomal RNA". It matches the Rfam family "Bacterial small subunit ribosomal RNA", at positions 524 to 776 of the family's 1533-position model. The record is from RNAcentral.